GCCCAGUGACAAUUAGUUUAACGGCCGCAGUAUAAUGACUGCGCUAAGGUAGCGUAAUCACUUGCCUUUUAAAUAAAGCCCAGUAUGAAUGGCAUAACGAGGAUUUAACUGUCUCCUUAACCUAGUCAAUGAAAUUAAUCUAUCCGUGCAGAAGCGGAUAUAAGAACAUAAGACGAGAAGACCCUAUGGAGCUUUAGGAUACGGGGCAAGCAUAUCAAGAAUUAUAAAAACAGAAUAUAUUUAAACCUAUGUAAUAUGACCCCCUUCCUUAGGUUGGGGCGACCCUGAGGCAAAAUAUAGCCCUCAUAUGGAAAUAUAAAAGAUAAACUCUAAUUCAGUCUUUUAAACUAAGAGUGACAACUCUAAGAAAUAGAACAUCUAACCAAAAAUGACCCAGGAUAAAUAAACCUGAUAACUGAACCAAGUUACCCUAGGGAUAACAGCGCAAUCUUCUCCUAGAGUCCCUAUCGACGAGAAGGGUUACGACCUCGAUGUUGGAUCAGGACAUCCUAAUGGUGCAGCCGCUAUUAAGGGUUCGUUUGUUCAACG
This 549-nucleotide ribosomal RNA is filed under the name Ariosoma balearicum (bandtooth conger). Its description in RNAcentral is "partial 16S ribosomal RNA". It matches the Rfam family "Bacterial large subunit ribosomal RNA", at positions 1861 to 2586 of the family's 2925-position model. The record is from RNAcentral. Lineage: Eukaryota; Metazoa; Chordata; Actinopteri; Anguilliformes; Congridae.